Rattus norvegicus (Norway rat) is the source of this 7202-nucleotide long non-coding RNA. RefSeq lists it as uncharacterized. The record is from RefSeq and is a predicted model, not a curated record. Lineage: Eukaryota; Metazoa; Chordata; Mammalia; Rodentia; Muridae.
UGUGUGUAUGUAUGCAUGCAUGAGUGCAUGUGUAGCUGAGAGGACUACUUUCAAGAGUCAGUAGUUCUCGGGCUGGAGAGAUGGCUCAGUGGUUAAGAGCACUGACUGCUCUUCCAGAGGUUCUGAGUUCAAACCCCAGCAACCACAUGGUGGCUCACAACCAUCUGUAAUGGGAUCUGGUGCCCUCUUCUGGAUAGUUACAGUGUACUCACAUAAAUAAAUCAUAAAACGAGUCAGUAGUUCUCCCUUUCCACCAUGUUUAAUCACUAUUGUUUUCUGCUGUCCUAUGUCCUGUAGGCUAGCUGGCUUACAAGACUCUGGGGCACUCUCCUGCCUCCACCUUCCAUUUCACUGCCGGAGUGCUGGGAUUACAGAUUCAAGCCAGGCAUUAAGUUUCCUGUCAGUUCAGAGGUCUUAACUCAAGCCACCCCCCAGCUUCCUGUUUGGGAAUGCUUUUCUUCACUGAGUCAUCUGGUUGCUAGGGCUUGAGCACAGGGAAAACAGAAUUUCAGCCAAAUCUUCAGAUGUGGAAGCUGGCCUUAUUUCAGUAUUAUUUUCAUAGGACAAUCACAGUCUGACAUAUAGUCCCACCCUUUUGAUCUGCAUCUAAAGAAAACCCAAUUAAAAUUUUAGUGCAAUUUAAAUAUAGUUAUGGCUAUGUGUGGGAAAGUGACAAAUGCUGUACCUCCGUGAAGAUCCAACAGUGACAGUCUCCAUUAGCAAGAAGUGUGUCCUUUCUCUGGAUGGUAAGUCCCUUCCAUAUUGAUUCAGGACUGUGUGUUGCUGUCCUAAGGCACAAACUGGGUAGUGGAACACCACUAUUUUCCCCAAGUUCCUGAGUACAAGAAGCAAGCAGCCAUUGAAUAACUGCAGGUCAUGUUUAUCAGAUGCUUAAUGUACGAUAAACACUGUAAUGUAAUAUAUUGCUGCUAAUUCAAUUUAAUCUUUCGAACAAUAGCUUACAUUGUGUUAUUAAUAUAAUUUACUAAGGGAGGAAACAGAGCCGCGCAGUGAGUAAAUUACUUGCUUAAGGUCACAAAUCUUCCUGAGAGAUGGAGCCCAGUGCCCCGGGGAUUUAUCUUCAUCAAUACUUCUAGUUUAAAAGUGAAGUGAGACGCAGACUAGGGCAGGUGUGAUUAUUGUUGUUACAGAGGAAAAAGGGAAAGUAAUCUGGGGAGAUUCCUCAUCAGCCUCUGUUUAGCUGAAUGCUUCUAUAUGAGGAGUUGGAGGCAAACAAGUUAUCAAAAGGGAAUGCCAUAGAAGGACUUGAUCUUUGAACUGCUAGGAUGUCUUAAUAUUCUUUAGUUUUUUACAAUCGUGUUUCUUCAUCCAAUAUUAAAAUAUGCUGAUGAGUAGACAUUGCGUCUUUAUAUUCUUGUAAUCCAGUUCAGCAGUGUGUGUUGCAGACAUGCUGAUAGGACGUGGCUUGGACUUUCAGCAAACAUAGGCACAGUGGAAGGGAUAUGCUUCACCAUCACCGUCCAGCAUAGCUUCUGCAAAUAAAGAUGUAUAAUGGUACAAAAUAUCCCAUUCUAGCCAGCAUUCAGCAUGCUAAUUUCCUAGAAAAAUUAUGUUUCGGAAUUCUCCAGGGGACUUAGAGAGGUGGGAAUAAAAGCCUAUGAUUUGAGAAAGAAGAGGGCAAACAAAGAAAACACCGUAGAAGAAGGAGUAGAGGAUGGCCUUUGUUGUAAAGUUAUUAGAUGGAAACUUGAAUGUACUUCACAAGAAGGUGCAAGGGAUUAAUAUUAUGAAAAUAUCCUAGCCUCAUAAUAUAAUUUCAUCAUGCUCUCCACACUCUGUUUAUACAAAUGAGUUAGUUUGAUUUCAGUGGAACCACUCCAAAUGCUCGGAAGCAUGUUUGAAAACUCGCAGGUCGAAAUCAGCCAAUCUACCAUCCUGAUUAGAUCAGGUCCCUAACCAUUCAAAGCUGACGUGGUCAUCUCAAAUGAAACAGUGAGGAUGCAAACAGUGGUAAACUAUUGCCUUUUGGUGGAUUCAGUCCAAUUACCCAAGAUGUAGGCUUUCCCUGACCUUCAAGUCUAAUUGAAACACUAACAGGUAUCAAAGUGAGCACCUGGUGACAUCCCUGAGAAGUGCUCUCUCUUCUAGCUGAGCCAUCUGCCCGCAGCCCCUAAGAGGUUUUCCAUCAAAUACAGAAAUAUAAUUUUUGCUUGGGUUCUCCUGCAAUUAAGGAAGUUUCAAAGUAACUAAAAUAUUUUGUUUUAUAGCUAAAUAAAAUAUUUAAUUUGAGGUAGCUUUAGACUUAUUGGGAGUUCCCUAAGGUUGCACAAUGAGUUCCCAUAUAUGUCGUACACAGAUACUCUGUUACCAUCUGGUAUCGCUAUGGCACAAAGGUAAUGGACCAAUACUGUUAUUUUAUUGUUAACUGUACUUAGUACUUUUGUUUUUUUAAUGCUUAUCUAAAAACUUCCUGUCUUUUCUCUCCCCCUGUCCCUCUACCUACAUCUUCCUCUUUCCCCAUGCUCCUCAUAGUGUGUGUGUGUGUGUGUGUGUGUGUGUGUUUGUUUGUGUGUGUGUGUGUGUAUUUUGCCUGCCACAGAGUAUUAUAGAACUUGGAGGAUAGCCUCAGCUGUUAAUCAUCACCUUCCAACCAUUUUAUAUAUAAUUUCUUAUUUGCUGCUGCAUAAGCCAGACUGGCUAGCCCUCAGGUUCCCAGGGAGUCUUGGGUUUCUGCUUCCUAUCUUGCCACAGUUGUACUAAGGUUACAGGCAAGUGAUACCAUAUCCUCUAACAUUUCUUGAAUAUUCUCACACCUGGACUGAGAUACCAGACUGGGGUGAUUAUGUACAGUAAAACCUUUAUGUCUGUCUUUAAGUGAAGGGUAUAGUAAAGCCUUUGUGUUGGCUUUGAGUGAAAUGAUUCAGCAAAGUCUUUGCUAUGUUUUGGUUAAUCGGUAGUUGCUGAGAAAUCGUUAUGAGGCUGUUUGAACCUUGAAGAAAUAUUUUCUCUCUAGACGGUCCAUACUUGGUGGUCCAUGAGAGAUUGCAGAUGGACUAACCUUGGUCUUAAGACACUCCUUCCUGAUUACCUGUGAGUUCUGAGAUUUGUGUAGUUUGUCUGCUUUCAUGGGCAGCCUAGGGCAAGAUAGCUGGAGCUUUCCCAGCCCCAGUUAACCUUGUAUGAUGUUUGAAUCAAGUAACUGGAGUGAGUUAACUGGGUGUCAGUCCUCCCCAGGAGGCUGUACCCCUCUGCUCCUUUGGGAAGUGAAGGCAUCUUGGUGCGCUUCUUUCUCUACCGCAGCACCUAUGAUGAGCAGCCAUCAGUACCACACUCGUUUCAGUUAUGUCUUCUCUGUGUUUUAGUGCUUUAUUAUGACUUUAAUGGUUUUGAGGGGUUCUAGAACAGACAUUUGUAGACUGGUUCUCAACUUGUUCUUUUCCUUAUAUUUUCAUCAUAUUAGUUAUCUUGGAGGCAGAUCACAGGGGUGAAGUGCCAUUGUCAACAUAUAUUAAAGAUGCUUGCUAUGAAUGUAAGGUCUUUGUUGAUGUUCUCUGGGAUCACUUGGAGAAGGAAGUCCUUUCCAGGCUGGACCACAGGGGGACUGUUCAUUUCCAUAAACCUCACCAUAUCAUGCAUUUUGAAAGCAAGUCACUAAGAGCAGCGCAUACUAGAGGGGUGAGCCAUUGACUUCUCUGCCAUGGGAUAAGAGAAAUCUGAGUCUAAUCUAAAACAAAUUAUUACGAUUCUUGUGUAAAUGUGUGCUAAGCUCAUUUAUUUACAUAUUUAUUCGUGGAUUCACUCAUAUCAGUACAGACAGGCACAGAGCGUCUUUAAAAUGUAAUGAAUUGCUAUAGUUUUAUUGCUCUAAUCAUUCCAGCGCUAGUCAGCCUGAGCUCGGUGUCCAUUUGACACGUGGUCAUCUUUUUGUCUUUUUCAGUUUGUUCAGCUGUGGAUCUGCGCGAUGCUCGAGGCUCAUCUAGGUACAACUACAGUGUCAAGACACUUCUUUGAGGAGAAACUUGAGACUAGUGUUAGAAAUCGAGGCCUGAGAACAAAUAAAAAGCUUUUCUUUCUUCUUCCUUUUUCCUUUAGUUAUUUUUGCUAUUGUUGCUGUCACUGCUGCUGUCAAAGAAGCACUUAUUAAAUGUCUGCGUCUGCUUUAAUAGACAUUGCAUGCAAGUGGGAGGACACCCUUCUUAGUAGCCAGGGAGAACACGGGGGACCAGGGCUACUUUAUCCCAUUUGCUGGUGAGGAAGCUAACAAUCCCCCUGCUGAAGGAUUCUGUUUACCAAACUUUGGGUGGAAUGAGGAGGACAUGCUGCAGGUACUAAGAUAGGAAGAGGAAAUUUGCCUUGGGCAACACCUUGAAUAUGCUCUGCAGUAUAAUUCAUGUUUCCCAGUAGAAAUAGAAGAGGAUUUCUAUGCAGAUAACUGGUAUCCAAGUUAUAAACAGUGAAAUAGGAAGGCUAAGUAGCAAAGAGUAACACACAUAUGAACCCAAAUAUUCAAAAUAUUGUCAUUUUAAAAGUCAGUUUACUAUUAUUGGGAUAUUUUGCAUUCAUUUUUCCACACAAAAAUUUGAAGUCUAAGUGGUGUUUCUUUUUUACAAAGCAUUUUUCAACUUCAUUUGAACUACCGAAUUUCAAGUAUUUAAUAAAUACUUGUAAUCCAGGAGUUGUGGCAUACAUGUUUAAUUCUAGCACUCUGGAGGCUGGUGGAUAAUCAGAACUCAAGGCCAUCCUGGUCUAAAGAGUGACUUUCAGGAAAGCCAGGGUUACACAGAUAAAAACUCUGUAUCAAAAAACAUGGAAACAAAUACACGCGAUUAAAUAAUACUGUUUUAAAUAAUGCUUCAAUAGGUAUGUAUAGAAUAUUAAGUGACCAUAAACUAGGACUGCUUCGUAGCAUUCCUCCUUUGUAACACCAUUGACGCUUGAGUCUUCAGGCUUAUUUCCUACUGUGUAUAUUCCCUACGUAAACUGGGACCUAAACUACAAGGAGAUGGUGGAGAAUUGCAAGUCAAGACUUUCCGGAGACUCUCAUUACAUGAGUUGUAAUUUUUGUCCAUUUACCUGUCCGUUGUGUUCGUGUUUUCUAUCUGUAGCUAGUGUGUCUUGCUACCUCUUCGGCAGGAUAUUGCUGUAUGUCAGGGGACUGUGGGGCUUCCCGGGGCCGUGCUGAGUUAACCUGCUUUUAUGCAGUGUGAACCACUGGUGUUAAAGUGAGAGGAUUGCAUUCAAAGGUAAACGUCUAGUGCGCAGACGAUAUAUAUAGUGAGUUACAGCUUGGAGACCAGAGGUUAUGCUUGAGGUUGCUCAAUAGCUCCGUGAAGGGCAGCAGCUCUCCGCGGCCAUGACCUCCUCUUUUUUUAUCUCAAGUUUUUCAGAAUGUGCGCAAUCUGGCAGAUGUGUUUUGUUUAUCUGGAAAAUGUUGAUGUGCUGUUUAAAAAGAUACAUGCCCUGUACAUGAAAACAGUAAAGUUCUAAAAGUGAUGAGGGUCACAUUUAAGGAAUAGAAAUACUUGUCCAGAAGAUGCAGAUUACUAUUUUAGAAAGGCCUACUGGCUGCUUCCACUAGAUGGUUGUCCUAGGGAUGGGCAAGUAGGAUCUGCCAGUCCAAUAGCUGUCCUUCCUCGGGAAGCUCCCAAAGAAAAGCUUCCCAGAAGUCUUUACUGGGAUAAGAAUACCGCAAUCUGAUUUUUGUCUUUGUCUUUCAUUAAAAUACCACCAGACCUAUGGUUUUACCAGUGAUUUGAAGUGCACUUAUUGUUCAGUGUACUCCCAAGGUCUUCUUUAGGUAAGGCUUAUUUUAGUGUGGUGCUGAACUGAUCCUAAGAGGUAACCAUAAAGAUCUGUAACCUGACAAACAGAACUUGAUUUGGGAGUGAUAAUAAGAAACCAGCUCACACUUGUCCAACUGCGAGGGUGUGGCUUCCCAAGACUUCAGCCGCUGUGCAGAUCUGUGGCCAUCACACACUUUACACAGUUUACUGGGCACAGCUGGAACACAUCUGGGGACUGGAAAGUUUCUGGGAGUCACAGCGCUCUUCUAAAAUUUUGUCAAGCCCUGAAUGUUUGGCCGAACUUCCUUUCCCAUGACUCCCUGUAAGUUCUUCAUCAUUUCCCUCGGUUGCUGUAGAAUAUACUUGCAGGCAAACAGUCCUUUGACCUAGUCUGCCUCCUUCUCUGUUGUCUUCCACAGAGUCAUCUCCUUAAACGAACCGUUCCAAAAUGAGUCUGCUCUUCAGAGUCUUCAGACUUGCUACUUGGAGUGUCUAGAAGUCAUACAGUGAAUUGGAGUCACUUGGCAUUUUGACUUUGGAAUGAAAAUAUUGUGUGGCACGGCGGGGAGGCAGGGCAAUGUGAAAGGGAUCCCUGCAGGAUGCUGGUAGCAUUGGCUGGUGCAAAGUGUUGGAGUCCCUGAACUGGACAAGAGGAACGCUUUUAUAGGAGUACAGGGAGGCUGCAGCAGCUCAGAGUCAGUAAAGGGAACAGGAGAAGAGAGACAUGGUGACAGUGGGAGACUCAUUGUACACUGCAGGAAUUGAACUAAAAAGGCAACUCGAAGAUAAUGGCAGCCAGGCUUCACCCUGUCAGAGACAGAGGCCUCAAGACUUGCAGAUGGAGUUAGCGUGUGACCCAGAGCUUCCCCCUUUUGGAUUUAUAUACCAGCAUGAUUAAAAACAAAAGCUCAAACAAUCAUUUCACAUAUUGUCAUGGGAACAGCCUUCAUAACAGCCCACAGAGGAAACAAUACAAAUUUCUAUCAACUGAUGGAUAAAAAAUGGCGGUGUGUUCCUUACACAGGAAUACUGUUGAGCUCCAGAAGGGAAUAGACUAUUGACAGGUGGUAUUAUGUAAGUGAACCUUGUAAACAUCUCACUGAGUGAAAGAAACCAGACAUAAAAUGUCACACAGUGUAUAAUUCUAUUUGUACAAGAUAUCCUCAAAAGGCCAAUUUUUUAGAGACAUAAGGCAGGUAUGUGGUUGCCAGAAGCUGUAAGGAAGAAUAACUAGUGACUGCUAACAGGUGUGUGAUCUCUUUGGGGAUUUGUAAACCUGCUCUGGAGUUAACUGCCAUGAUUGUACAACCUUGUAAACAUUCCAAUGUCCCCUGAAUUGUACGCUUGAAAAUUAUGAAUUUUAAAGUGUGAACUAGAUCUCAAAGACAGAAAAUUAGGAACACAUUUAUGUGAAGAUAUUUGAAAACAAAUGAAAUAAAUACUCUUGGACAAACACUA